This 2410-nucleotide long non-coding RNA is filed under the name Homo sapiens (human). RNAcentral's name for it is "HSALNT0329504". The record is from RNAcentral. Lineage: Eukaryota; Metazoa; Chordata; Mammalia; Primates; Hominidae.
GCAGGGUCAGAGGUUUCUGGAAAGGCCUUUGACCUGUGGGCGUGUUCCUAGAGGUCAGGUGGUGAGAAUGGCGGGGUCAGCGGACAGCAGUGGGGCUACAGGCUGUGUCUGUGGCUGCCCUGGCUUAGGGCUCUGGCUGGCCCCUCCUUUCCGACCUGGUCUGGCAGAGCAGCCCCGCAGGACCAGCUCGCAAGGCUCCUGGGGCCAGUGGGGCUCUGUCCUGUGAGGCGGUCCCUCCGCAAGGACAGAGUCAGAGAGAGGCUGGUCUAUCAUUUUUGCUUCAUGUAUUUUGAAACUCUUGGUUAGAGACAGGGUCUUGCUGUGUUGUCCAGACUGGUGUUGAACUCCUGGUUUCAAGCGAUCCUCCCACCUGGGAUUACAGGCAUGAGCCACUAUGCCCAAUCAUCUCUCUGAGCUUCUUGGAUCUGUAGUUUGUAUCUUUCAUUAUUUUCUGAAGAUUCUUGGCUAAUUUCUCUUUAAAUAUUUCUUCUUUAAAAAAUAUCUACUUCAAAUACCUAAUAUAGAUGACGGGUUGAUGGGUGCAGCAAACCAUCAUGGCAUGUGUAUACCUAUGUAACAAACCUGCACGUUCUGCACAUGUAUCCCAGAACUUAAAGUAUAAUAAAAAAAAUUUUUAAAAAGAAAAAUUAAAAUCUACUUCCUUCCUCUGGAAUUUUAAGGCUUAGGAGAAGAGUUGUGUACAUGUCCAGAAGAAAAGUGGAGUUGAGUCAGUUUAUUAGGAUGUGGUGUGGGUUUGGGAUUUUUUUGUUUUUGUUUUUGUGGUUGCUUUCAGUGUACCUCCAACUUCAAAGCAUUGUGCUUAGAGUAGAGGCUGGGUUUCCAGAGGUUUUUUGUUUUGUUUUCUUAAAAUGUUCCUGCUUUACUUGCAGCUUUCAGAAUUCCCAGUGGACCUGUACCUUGGAGGGAUGUUUCUUGAUGCAUGCUUGCCCCUUGUCCAGCAGUGGUCUCCUGUUCCUUGUUACUCAUGCUUGCUAGUCCAGUGAUGGGGACCAGUGAGGACUCUCUACUGUCCUGGUCCAGCCUCACUAUUAGACAGGCUAAAAGUUCUGUCAGCCUGUGGGAAGGGCAGGAAAUGGUCUGGCCCAAGUUCAUUAGAGGUUUUUGUUAUUGGUUUGUUUGUUUGUUUGUUUGUUUGUUUUGAGACAGAGUCUUGUUCUGUCACCCAGGCUGGAGUGCAGUGGUGCGAUCUCAGCUCACUGCAACUUCUGCCUCCUGGGUUCAAGCAAUUCUCCUGCCUCAGCUCCUGAGUAGAGGGGAUUACAGGCAUGUGCCACUAUGCCCAACUAAUUUUUGUAUUUUUAGUAGAGAAGGGGUUUUGCCAUGUUGGCCAGGCUUGUCUCAAACUCCUGACCUCAAGUGAUCCACCCACUUCAGCCUCCCAAAGUGUUGAGAUUACAGGUGUGAGCUAUCGCACCUGGCCAUGAGGUGUUCUACCACUGUUGGAAGGGUAGAAUGUUCUUUCCAGGUCAAGAUCCAUCAAAGAAACAAGGAAAAGUUUGGCUGUCUCAGAGAGGGGAUCAGGAUCACCAGGAAAUCUCCAGACAUGGAGAGCCAGUCUUUCUUGUGAGCAUCCAGUAAAGGUCUGUGGAGAAAAAUGUAUGAGAGAGGUGUGAAUUUUUCUUGUGUCUGUGACUCCCAGGAAUUUCAUAUUCACACAUUAGCCCACAAUUUGCCUUUAGUAAUUUUUUUUUUUAAAAGCUCCAGUCUGCAGCUCCCAGUGAGACCAACGCAGAAGGUGGGUGAUUUCCAGCUGAGGUGCCCGGUUCAUCUCAUUGGGACUAGUUAGGCAGUGGGUGCCACCCACAGAGAGCAAGCAGAAGCAGGGUGGGGCAUCGCUUCACCUGGGAAGUGCAAGGAGCCAGGGGACCUCCCUUCCACAGCCAAGGGAAGUGGUGAGGGACUGUGCUACCCUCCCUGGAUACUACACUUUUCCCGUGGAUUUUUGCAAUCUGCAGAUCAGGAGAUUCCCUCGUGAACUUACACCACCAGAGCCCUGGGUUUCAAGCACAAAACUGAGCAGCUGAUUGGGCAGGCACUGAGCUAGCUACAGGAGUUUUUUUGUACUCCAGCGGCACCUGGAACCAUAAUGAGACAGGAGACAGGAGAGACAGGAGAACCGUCCACUCCCCUAGAAAGGGGGCUGAAGCCAGGGAGCCAAGUGGUCUUGCUCAGCAGGUCCCACUCCCACAGAUCCCAGCAAGCUAAGAACCACUGGCUUGAAAUUCUCACUGCCAGCACAGCAGUCUGGAGUUGACCCAGAAUGAUCGAGCUUGGUGGCGGGAGGGGCAUCCACCAGUACUGAGGCAUUAGUAGGCGGUUUUCCCCUGACAGUGCUAAGGAGACUGGGAGGUUUGGAAUGGGCAGAAUUUACCACAGCAUGGCAAAGUGA